UACGGAGGGUGCAAGCGUUAUCCGGAUUCACUGGGUUUAAAGGGUGCGUAGGUGGGCAGGUAAGUCAGUGGUGAAAUCUCCGGGCUUAACCCGGAACUGCCGUUGAUACUAUCUGUCUUGAAUGUAGUGGAGGUGAGCGGAAUAUGUCAUGUAGCGGUGAAAUGCUUAGAUAUGACAUAGAACAUCGAUUGCGAAGGCAGCUCGCUACACUAUGAUUGACACUGAGGCACGAAAGCGUGGGGAUCAAACAGG
This 252-nucleotide ribosomal RNA is filed under the name uncultured bacterium. RNAcentral describes it as "partial 16S ribosomal RNA". It matches the Rfam family "Bacterial small subunit ribosomal RNA", at positions 524 to 776 of the family's 1533-position model. The record is from RNAcentral.